ACGGGAGGCAGCAGUGGGGGAUAUUGCACAAUGGAGGAAACUCUGAUGCAGCAACGCCGCGUGAGGGAAGAAGGUCUUCGGAUUGUAAACCUAAGUUGUCAGGGACGAAACAAAUGACGGUACCUGAAGAGAAAGCUCCGGCUAACUACGUGCCAGCAGCCGCGGUAAUACGUAGGGAGCGAGCGUUGUCCGGAUUUACUGGGUGUAAAGGGUGCGUAGGCGGGCUUGCAAGUCAGGCGUGAAAUCCCGUGGCUCAACUGCGGGGCUGCGCUUGAAACUGUAGGUCUUGAGUGAAGUAGAGGCAAGCGGAAUUCCUAGUGUAGCGGUGAAAUGCGUAGAUAUUAGGAGGAACACCAGUGGCGAAGGCGGCUUUCUGGACUGUAACUGACACUGAGGCACGAAAGCGUGGGGAGCAAACAGGAUUAGAUACCCUGGUA
Molecule: ribosomal RNA, 437 nt
Filed under: uncultured Clostridiales Family IV bacterium
Lineage: Bacteria; Bacillati; Bacillota; Clostridia; Eubacteriales; Eubacteriales Family IV. Incertae Sedis
Description: bacterial SSU rRNA
Rfam family: Bacterial small subunit ribosomal RNA
Source: RNAcentral